GACGUAGGUGGCGAACGUUAUCCGGAAUUAUUGGGCGUAAAGGGUGCGUAGGCGGCAUGAUAAGUUAUUGGCGGCAAAUCGAGGCUCAACCUCGUGGAAACUGAUAAUACUGUCUUGCUUGAGUGCAGAAGAGGUUAACGGAACUCCAUGUGGAGCGGUAAAAUGUGUAGAUAUAUGGAAGAACAUCAAUAACGGCGAAGGCAGUUAACUAUUAUGUUACUGACGUUGAGGCACGAAAGCGUGGGGAGCAAAAAGG
This 256-nucleotide ribosomal RNA is filed under the name uncultured bacterium. RNAcentral describes it as "partial 16S ribosomal RNA". It matches the Rfam family "Bacterial small subunit ribosomal RNA", at positions 524 to 776 of the family's 1533-position model. The record is from RNAcentral.